GAUGAACGUUGGCGGCGUGCCUAACACAUGCAAGUCGAACGCUGGUAGCAAUAUCAGAGUGGCGCACGGGUGAGUAACACGUAGCUUACCUACCUCAAAGCGCGGGAUAACGUUCCGAAAGGAAUGCUAAUACCGCAUAAGCUCGCGGUCUGUAGAGGGCUGAGAGAAAAGGGGCAACUCACUUUGAGAUGGGGCUGCGGCCCAUCAGCUGGUUGGUGAGGAACGGCUUACCAAGGCAACGACGGGUAGGGACCUGAGA
RNAcentral lists this ribosomal RNA (259 nucleotides) under uncultured bacterium. RNAcentral's name for it is "partial 16S ribosomal RNA". It matches the Rfam family "Bacterial small subunit ribosomal RNA", at positions 28 to 297 of the family's 1533-position model. The record is from RNAcentral.